AGGCAGCAGGCGCGCAAAUUACCCAAUCCUGACACAGGGAGGUAGUGACAAGAAAUAACAAUACAGGGCCUAACGGUCUUGUAAUUGGAAUGAGUAAAGUAUAAACCCCUUUACGAGUAUCAAUUGGAGGGCAAGUCUGGUGCCAGCAGCCGCGGUAAUUCCAGCUCCAAUAGCGUAUAUUAAAGUUGUUGCAGUUAAAAAGCUCGUAGUUGGAUUUCUGUUGCAUCAUUAUAUUAUCACUAAGGUAAUAAUAUAAUAUCAACAUCCUCCCUUAUUAUAUCUAAUAUAGAGGGAAUUUUACUUUGAGAAAAUUAGAGUGCUUAAAGCAGGCAACUUCCUUGAAUACUCCAGCAUGGAAUAAUAAGCAAGGACUUUUGUCUUUCUUAUUGGUUCUAGGACAAUAGUAAUGGUUA
Molecule: ribosomal RNA, 413 nt
Filed under: Cryptosporidium galli
Lineage: Eukaryota; Apicomplexa; Conoidasida; Eucoccidiorida; Cryptosporidiidae
Description: SSU rRNA
Rfam family: Eukaryotic small subunit ribosomal RNA
Source: RNAcentral